Molecule: ribosomal RNA, 439 nt
Filed under: uncultured bacterium
Lineage: Bacteria
Description: bacterial SSU rRNA
Rfam family: Bacterial small subunit ribosomal RNA
Source: RNAcentral
GUGGGGAAUUUUGCGCAAUGGGCGAAAGCCUGACGCAGCAACGCCGCGUGGAGGAUGAAGGUCUUCGGAUCGUAAACUCCUGUCAGGGGGGACGAAAACCCCGCAAGGGGUCUGACUGUACCCUCUGAGGAAGCCACGGCCAACUCCGUGCCAGCAGCCGCGGUAAUACGGAGGUGGCAAGCGUUGUUCGGAAUUACUGGGCGUAAAGGGCGCGUAGGCGGCAUGGCAAGUCAGAUGUGAAAUCCCCGAGCUUAACUUGGGAAUUGCAUCUGAAACUGCUUUGCUUGAGUCCUGGAUGGGGUAGUGGAAUUCCCAGUGUAGCGGUGAAAUGCGUAGAUAUUGGGAGGAACACCAGUGGCGAAGGCGGCUACCUGGACAGUGACUGACGCUGAGGCGCGAAAGCUAGGGGAGCGAACGGGAUUAGAUACCCCUGUAGUCC